UCUGGGGUGACGAAAUAGGUAGACGUGCAUAACUGUUAAUUAUGUGAUAGAUAUACUGCAAUUUAUUUAUCGUGGAGGUUCGAGUCCUUCCCCCAGAGCCA
RNAcentral lists this transfer RNA (101 nucleotides) under bacterium. Its description in RNAcentral is "tRNA-Asn". It matches the Rfam family "tRNA". Rfam says of the family: Transfer RNA (tRNA) molecules are approximately 80 nucleotides in length. Their secondary structure includes four short double-helical elements and three loops (D, anti-codon, and T loops). The record is from RNAcentral.